AUCGCUUCUCGGCCUUUUGGCUAAGAUCAAGUGUAGUAUAGUGUCCUGCAACUUUGCUAUAAAUAUGAAAUUGUUUCAAUUACAAAAUUAAAUAUAUUGCAGCCAGUGUAGCUCAGUGGUUGAGCAUCAGCCCAUGCACCAAAAGUUCGAUUCCUGGUCAGGGCACAUGCCUGGGCUGUGGGCUCAGUCUUCAA
This is a small nuclear RNA of Pipistrellus kuhlii (Kuhl's pipistrelle), 194 nucleotides long. RefSeq annotates it as U2 spliceosomal RNA. Lineage: Eukaryota; Metazoa; Chordata; Mammalia; Chiroptera; Vespertilionidae. The transcript has a single exon. The record is from RefSeq and is a predicted model, not a curated record.